This 253-nucleotide ribosomal RNA is filed under the name uncultured bacterium. Its description in RNAcentral is "partial 16S ribosomal RNA". It matches the Rfam family "Bacterial small subunit ribosomal RNA", at positions 524 to 776 of the family's 1533-position model. The record is from RNAcentral.
UACAGAGGUCCCGAGCGUUGUUCGGAUUCACUGGGCGUAAAGGGUGCGUAGGUGGCAUGGUAAGUUUGAUGUGAAAGCUCAGGGCUCAACCCUGAAAUGGCAUUGAAUACUACUGUGCUGGAGGUUUGGAGGGGGGACUGGAAUUCUUGGUGUAGCAGUGAAAUGCGUAGAUAUCAAGAGGAACACCAGUGGCGAAGGCGGCUCACUGGGACGGUAUUGACGCUGAGACGCGAAAGCGUGGGGAGCAAACAGG